UGCCAGCAGCCGCGGUAAGACAGAGGGUGCGAACGUUGUUCGGAAUUACUGGGCGUAAAGCGCGUGUAGGCGGCUGCGCAAGUCGGGUGUGAAGGCCCUGGGCUCAACCGAGGAAGUGCACUCGAAACUGCGUAGCUAGAGUUCCGGAGAGGAUGGUGGAAUUCUCGGUGUAGAGGUGAAAUUCGUAGAUAUCGAGAGGAACACCGGUGGCGAAGGCGGCCAUCUGGACGGAAACUGACGCUGAGACGCGAAAGCGUGGGUAGCAAACAGGAUUAGAUA
Molecule: ribosomal RNA, 279 nt
Filed under: uncultured bacterium
Lineage: Bacteria
Description: partial 16S ribosomal RNA
Rfam family: Bacterial small subunit ribosomal RNA
Source: RNAcentral